Molecule: ribosomal RNA, 229 nt
Filed under: uncultured bacterium
Lineage: Bacteria
Description: partial 16S ribosomal RNA
Rfam family: Bacterial small subunit ribosomal RNA
Source: RNAcentral
UGCGUAGGCGGAAUGAUAAGUCAGUGGUGAAAGCCCCCGGCUCAACCGGGGAACUGCCAUUAAUACUGUCAUUCUUGAGUAUAGUUGAAGUGGGCGGAAUGUAUCAUGUAGCGGUGAAAUGCUUAGAUAUGAUACAGAACACCGAUAGCGUAGGCAGCUUGCUAAACUAUAACUGACGCUCAGGCACGAAAGCGUGGGGAGCAAACAGGAUUAGAUACCCUGGUAGUCC